GAUGAACGCUGGCGGCGUGCCUAAUACAUGCAAGUCGAGCGAACAGACGAGGAGCUUGCUCCUCUGACGUUAGCGGCGGACGGGUGAGUAACACGUGGAUAACCUACCUAUAAGACUGGGAUAACUUCGGGAAACCGGAGCUAAUACCGGAUAAUAUAUUGAACCUCAUGGUUCAAUAGUGAAAUACGGUUUUUCUGUCACUUAUAGAUGGUUCCGCGCCGCAUUAGCUAGUUGGUAAGGUAACGGCUUACCAAGGCGACGAUGCGUAGCCGAACUGAGAGGGUGAUCGGCCACACUGGAACUGAGACACGGUCCAGACUCCUACGGGAGGAAGCAGUAGGGAAUAUGCCGCAAUGGGCGAAAGCAUGACGGAGCAACGCCGCGUGAGUGAUGAAGGUCUUCGGAUCGUAAAACUCUGUUAUUAGGGAAGAACAAAUGUGUAAGUAACUAUGCACGUCUUGACGGUAACUAAUCAGAAAGCCACGGCUAACUACGUG
This 497-nucleotide ribosomal RNA is filed under the name uncultured bacterium. Its description in RNAcentral is "partial 16S ribosomal RNA". It matches the Rfam family "Bacterial small subunit ribosomal RNA", at positions 28 to 507 of the family's 1533-position model. The record is from RNAcentral.